Molecule: ribosomal RNA, 552 nt
Filed under: uncultured Planctomycetota bacterium
Lineage: Bacteria; Pseudomonadati; Planctomycetota
Description: uncultured planctomycete partial 16S ribosomal RNA
Source: RNAcentral
UUCCUUUGAGUUUCAGCCUUGUUGACCAUACUCCCCAGGCGGAGCACUUAACACUUUCGCUUCUGUCGGAAACCUAUGGAGGAGCCUCCAACCUAGUGCUCAUCGUUUACAGCUAGGACUACCGGGGUAUCUAAUCCCGUUCGCUACCCUAGCUUUCGUGCCUCAGCGUCAGAAAAGACCCAGUGAGCCGCUUUCGCCACAGGUGUUCCUAAUGAUAUCAACGCAUUUCACCGCUCCACCAUUAGUUCCGCUCACCUCUAUCUUCCUCUAGCUUGGCAGUUUUGAGCGCAGUUCCUCGGUUGAGCCGAGGGAUUUCACACCCAACUUGUUCUUGUCUCCUACGCACCCUUUAAGCCCAGUGAUUCCGAAUAACGUUUGGACGGUUCGUCUUACCGCGGCUGCUGGCACGAACUUAGCCCGUCCUUCCUCUGGAGAUAGGUCAACUAUGGGGGAGAACCCCCAUAGAUUUCCUCCCAACUGACAGCGGUUUACAACCCGAAGGCCUUCAUCCCGCACGCGGCGUCGCUCCGUCAGGCUUUCGCCCAUUGCGGA